GCACUGGUAUCAACUGUAGAUUUUGAAAUCUUUGCUUAGCAAAUAUCCUGAAACAUAGGCAGCAGCAUUUUUGAGCAAUAAAUUGUUGCUAAUAUUUUGUUCUCGGUAGUCAUUUUCACCAAUCAACAGUGAGUUACUUGGAGCUUUUGCAUGGAACAGUUUCCUUUGGAAGAGGUCAAAAGUGAACUGAAAAAAACCUUUCAAAAAGCUCUGAUAAAUUGUAUUGGCGUGGGAUUGUCAGAAUUACCUCCUUGCUGGCAUAUUGUUCCAAAAAAAUUCUCUAGAGCAUCUGUGUUUAAUCUUCUGUGUGGAACUAUUGACGCAAUCGAAAAGCGAAUCAAAUU
Long non-coding RNA from Xenia sp. Carnegie-2017, 344 nucleotides. RefSeq lists it as uncharacterized. The transcript has 4 exons. NCBI's taxonomy places the organism in Eukaryota, Metazoa, Cnidaria, Anthozoa, Malacalcyonacea, Xeniidae. The record is from RefSeq and is a predicted model, not a curated record.